CACGGGGGGAGCAAGCGUUGUUCGGAAUCACUGGGCGUAAAGGGCGUGUAGGCGGCCGUGUAAGUGGGAUGUGAAAUGCCCCGGCUCACCCGGGGAUCUGCAUUCCAAACUGCUCGGCUUGAGUAUGGGAGAGGAUGAGGGAAUUCCUGGUGUAGCGGUGAAAUGCGUAGAUAUCAGGAGGAACACCGGUGGCGAAAGCGCUCAUCUGGCCCAAUACUGACGCUGAUGCGCGAAAGCUAGGGGAG
RNAcentral lists this ribosomal RNA (245 nucleotides) under uncultured bacterium. RNAcentral's name for it is "partial 16S ribosomal RNA". It matches the Rfam family "Bacterial small subunit ribosomal RNA", at positions 524 to 768 of the family's 1533-position model. The record is from RNAcentral.